GAAGAAUUAGUUAAAAAAUAACAUUAAAAUGUCAUUUUAAAAUUACUUUUAAAGUAUUCUUCU
This 63-nucleotide transfer RNA is filed under the name Lynceus grossipedia. RNAcentral describes it as "tRNA-Asp". Lineage: Eukaryota; Metazoa; Arthropoda; Branchiopoda; Diplostraca; Lynceidae. The record is from RNAcentral.